This 62-nucleotide transfer RNA is filed under the name Fukomys damarensis (Damara mole-rat). It matches the Rfam family "tRNA". From Rfam's summary of the family: Transfer RNA (tRNA) molecules are approximately 80 nucleotides in length. Their secondary structure includes four short double-helical elements and three loops (D, anti-codon, and T loops). Lineage: Eukaryota; Metazoa; Chordata; Mammalia; Rodentia; Bathyergidae. The record is from Rfam by way of RNAcentral.
GGGGGUGUAGCUCAGUGAGAGAGCACUUGCCUAGCAGGCAUGAGGCUUGGAUUUCAUCCCCA